CCUACGGGUGACAGCAGUGGGGGAUAUUGCACAAUGGGGGGAACCCUGAUGCAGCGACGCCGCGUGGGUGAAGAAUCGCCUCUGCGCGUAAAGCCCUGUCAGCAGGGAAGAAAAUGACGGUACCUGAAGAAUAAGCCCCGUCUAACUCCGUGCAAGCAGCCGCGGUAAUACGUAGGGUGCAAGCGUUAUCCGGAUUUUUUGGGUGUAAAGGGGGCGCAGGCGGCUUCGCAAGUCAGAGGUGAAAGGUCCGGGCCUAACCCGGGAACUGCUUCUGAGAGUGCUGAGCUAGAGAGUAGGUGCGGUAGGCGGAAUGUAUGGUGUAGCGGUGAAAUGCUUAGAGAUCAUACAGAACACCGAUUGCGAAGGCAGCUUACCAAACUAUAUCUGACGUUGAGGCACGAAAGCGUGGGGAGCAAACAGGAUUAGAUACCCUAGUAGUC
RNAcentral lists this ribosomal RNA (440 nucleotides) under uncultured bacterium. Its description in RNAcentral is "partial 16S ribosomal RNA". It matches the Rfam family "Bacterial small subunit ribosomal RNA", at positions 338 to 795 of the family's 1533-position model. The record is from RNAcentral.